This 394-nucleotide ribosomal RNA is filed under the name uncultured bacterium. Its description in RNAcentral is "partial 16S ribosomal RNA". It matches the Rfam family "Bacterial small subunit ribosomal RNA", at positions 523 to 918 of the family's 1533-position model. The record is from RNAcentral.
CUACGGAGGAUCCGAGCGUUAUCCGGAUUUAUUGGGUUUAAAGGGUGCGCAGGCGGGAGAUUAAGUCGGCGGUGGAAUUUUGCAGCUCAACUUUAAAAGUGCCUUCGAAACUGGUUUCCUUGAGUGUAGAUGAAGUAGGCGGAAUUUGUGGUUUAGCGGUGAAAUGCAUAGAUAUCAAGAAGAACUCCGAUCGCGAAGGCAGCCUUCCGGCCCGUCAACGACGCUCAGGCUCGAAGGUGCGGGUAUCAAACAGGAUUAGAUACCCUGGUAGUCCGCACAGUAAACGAUGGACACCCGCGGUUUGGCCUAUAUGGCUGAGCCGCCAAGCGAAAGCGUUAAGUGUCCCACCUGGGGAGUACGCCGGCAACGGAGAAACUCAAAGGAAUUGACGGGG